AUAAAAUAUUCUUAUCUUUUAUAUUUACUGGCUGAUUUACAUUUCAUUUAUGGAAUGUCAUUCUGUCUUCUUAGGGAUUAAAUAAUUCCAAAUAUUUUGUUAUUAUUGUUUUUUAAAUGCUAAGAUAAACACUCUAGUGCCCAUUUUUUUAACAGCUUUAUUGAGCAACAUACAAUACAAUUCCCCCAUUUGCAGGGUAUAACUUUAUAUUUUAAGUAUAUUCACAGGGUUGCACAACCAUUACCACCAUCUAAUUUUAGAAUGUGUUUGUUCUCCUAAAAUAAACCCCAUACCCAUUAGUAAGUCAGUCUUCAUGACCCACCUUUUGCCUACCCCAGCCUUAAGCAACCACUGAUCUACCUUCUGUCCCUAUCAGUUUGCCAAGAGAGACAAAUCCUACACAUUCCACAUAUAAAUGGAAUCACACAAUGUGUGGUCCUGGCUUCUUUCUCUGAGCAUGCUUUGAUGGCUUAGCCCUGUUGCUUCCUUCCUUUUUAUUUCUGAGUAAUACCCCAUUGUACAAAUGGACCUAUUUCAUUUACCCACCCACUGCGAAGGGUCAUUUUCACUUGGGGCUGUUGUAAACAGUGCUGCUGUGAACUUUCACAUGCAGUUGUCUCUGUGUGGAUGGACUUUUUCACCCAGGAGAGGAUUUGCUAGAUCGCAUGGUAACUCUAUAUCUCCCUUUUUAACCUGCUACCUGUUUCUGAUUAUUUCUUUAAAACACACUCCUAGCAUGAAAUUAAUUGGCCAGAGCAUAUGGGCAUCCUUAAAGUUUUUGGUGCAUGUUGCAAAAUUUCACUCCUACAAAUUAUGCCAACUCCUGUUCCUACCAGUAGUGCAAGAGAAUGUUUGAAAAGUACAGAUUUGGGUUCCAGAGACUCUUAAAGGAUCAGACCCACAGUCACCUGAUGUCUGUUUGGACCUGCAGAGACUCCUGAGGUAGCUCUCCUUUUCUAGACAAAGCUUAGCAGAAGGAGCCAGAAGAUCAGGUUUCUUCUCCCAGAGCUGCUACCUACUAGCCUUGCAACCUCAAGCAAUUAUUUCCUUCUUUAUCAAAUGGAGGUAAGACUAGGCCGUUCCUCCCCCCACCCCUACGAAGCAGUUAGAAGGCCAAUGGAGAAAUGCCGUGUAGGAAUGCUUUUGUAACGUGAACACACCCGGACAGGAAUGAGCCUUGACGGCAUGUCACUUUCUGAGAAGCACUGCUUAACUGGUCUGUCCACUGAGUAUAGAGAUUUGGGGCAGGACUUGGUAGUUGGAGGUCAGUGUGGGGGUCGGUGGGGGGUUAGUUCAGACACGUCUGCUUUGACAGAAGCUGAAGACAAGCAAUCUUCCUUACUCUACUGUGAUGUGAUUGCACAGCAUGGUUUCACUGUGUCUUUAAGCUGAACAUCCCCUCUGGCACCAGAGGUUGGGUAGGCAGGAUCAGAGAGGGUAGGGGGCAGGGGAUCCCCCUGACUAGGAAGUACUUGUUGUUACCCAUGGAAAAGCCUUCCCUUCCUUGGAGUGAAAGGUGUCCUCUAGAAAUUAUAACCAGGGGGCUGUGCCCUGCAGCCCUGGCUGGUGCAGGUUUCUUUUCUGAGUCUCCCCAUGAGCCCAGGGCUUCCUCUGUGGCCAGCCAGCAAUCCAUGUGCUAAGAGCCCAAGGGGGGCCCUCCCGGGGCCUGCUCCCUGGCCAACCAUGCUGCCCCCAGGAGGCAUCCAGUGAUCCAGAUCUCCACCCAGGCAACCAUCUGUCCCAUGGCCUUGGGGAUGGCACCUGCCUUCAGGUGGUGAGAGGGGCCACAGAGGCAUUCUGGUGGGGACUGGCCUCCCUGAGGCUGCUGCACAUCUGGCCUGGGCCUGCUGAGGGAGGCCAUAGGAUAAGACAUGUAUACAAACUCCAAGUCAGGGUCGGGGGAUGGCGGAUCCCAGGACAGACCAGGUUCAAUAGACACACUCUGCCAAGUGAGCCACACAUGUCCACCAAAGGCCCGAAUGCUAACUCAGUUUCUUUUUAUAGUACAAGACCCAGAGAGCUUAUCUGAGAGAAGAAGACUUUAAUUAAGUGAGAUUAGCUAUUAGGUAAUAAGUAUCACGUAUGUUUCAGGCACUUCACCUAAGUCAGCUUUAGUCCUCACAGAGAUCAUGAAGGUGGGCAUCACACCCACUUUAAUGAUGUAGAACUGAGAUCCCAUGAGUUCGGGUAACUUGUCCAUAAAGCUAAUAGGCAGCACAGUGGGGCCCACAGCCAGGCCUUGCUCUCCUUGUUUCCUGAAGACAUCAGGGUGUGUCCUGGAACACCACUUGCCCAUCAUGCCAGCCCAUGAUGCAAAGGGCCCUCCAGUGAGGAUCUUGCCCUGGGCCAGGAAGGCUCCUGGGAGGGUGGUGGGUGAAUAAGUAGGGAAGGAGGGGUGAGUGAGCAAGUGGACAGGGGGUCUGGUCCCUGCAGAGCAGAGCAGGAGGCGCAUCAGCCAACCUGCUGAGCAGUCACCCAGGCUCGUGGUUUGGCUCGCCUUGUGCUCGUUCUGGCUCCUUCUCCUUCUUCCUUCUUCCCCUGCAAAUCCCUUUGCAUAAUGGUUUUCCCCUUCCAGUUCAUUUCAAAACAUGUUGAUCCAAGGAGGGCCUGGGCCUCCUCCAGGAGUGUGCUGUUGACAGGAAGCGCUGGUGAUGAGUCACUCCAAAAGCAGGUAUCAAAGAGCUGGGCAGACAGGGUCCGGAGAGCAUACGGGGUCAGCUGAGGAGGACUUCACGUGGUGGGCAGCUACAAGGAGCCCAGUCUGGCAGGCGGCACUCUAUGUGUGUAUGGGACAGAGAUGACAGCCCCCAGGGGGUGCCCUGGGUCAGACCACAGGCUGACCAGUCAGUGAUGGAGAGCUGAUGAAAAGCCAUCUCGGUUCUACACCUGGGGGCCCAGUGUGCUGGAGCCGAAAGGCACUCUUCCUAGUCUAUAGUGCCGGCCCAAUGACUGGCCAGAACCCUAGCAGGAGAGGGCUGGCUGCCUGAUGGUGUCUGUGGCUGACCCACCCAAGGGCCUUAUUUGCAAUGCUGCAGGUGGUGAGGGCCACCUUCAAGUGUGGGCAUCCUGGGGGCACAUGCUGAAGCACUUUGCUCAUCAGGGAGACAGAUUAGCAUGACCAGCAGCCCCGUUGUCACCAUACAUGGACUGUUAUGGACCAAGUGUGUCCCCCCAGACCCAUAUGUUGGAACCCUAAUCCCCAAUGUGAUGGUGUCAGGAAGCAGGAUCUCUGGGAGGUGAUGAGGACAUGAGCGUGGAGCCCCCAUCAUGGGAUCAGUGUCCCUAUAGAGGAGACCCCAGAGAGGCCCCUUGCUCUUUCCUCCAUGUGAGGACACAGUGAGGACACUGUCUGUGAAGUCUCUGAAAUCUGCUGACAUCUUGAUCUUGCAUUUCCAGCUUCCAGGACUGAGAGGAAUCAGUGUCUGUUGUUUAUAAGCUGCCCCAUCUGUGGAGUUCUGUCAGAGCAGCUGGCUGACUAAGAUACAGCCUCACACUUACCUCUGUCAUUGGGAAUAUUCUCCAUGUGUGGGAUGGCCGUGAGGACUGGCCGUGAUACUUUCUGCAGUGUCCAGCUAAAGUACUGCUCACCUAUUUGGUGAAUGCCUACCCUCAUUUAACUCUGUCCUAAGAAUGAGGCUGAAGGCACAAAGAAGCAUGAGACAAAAUUCCAGACCUUAAGAAACUAGUACUCAAAAUGGGAAUCAAAAUAGAGAUGCACAACACAGAAAACAGUGCAGAACACUGCACUCUUGAUUGUGAGAUUGUAUGGUGACAACUCAGAUAAUAUUAGGGGUCUAAGAAGGAAAGCAACUUGAGUCCUAGAUUCCUAAUCAGGGGGGCUUCCUGGAGGUGGUGAAUCCUUGAAUGAUGGGUUCAGAAAAGGGAAGAUGAAAUGCUAGGUGGGAAGAGCAGCAUGAACAGUCAGUACUGAAUAAACAUCAGCUCUAGGCACAGUGGGUGGUUCACUUCUUGGCCCCUCAGCUGUACUCUAGUCAAGUAGUAAAUGUAGGAUGACACCAAGCCCUGUGGGGGUUGAGAGCACAUGCUUCUGGUAGACAUCUCUGCAGUUCACAAACAGUGGAGGUACAGCAGCCCCACUUUUUGAGUGCCUACCAUAUGCUGGGUACUUUGCACAGACUCAUUUCGUUUUCGUAACAAACCUAGGAGGGGCUAUCAUUAUCCUCAUUUCCCAAAUAGGAAAACUGAGGCUGAUGGAGGUUAGAGACUUGCCCAAGAUCACACAGCAGAGUGGCACAGACAGGGUUCCAACCUGGGCCUGCCAGUGCUCUUUCCACUGGCAAAGACCAAAGGUCACUUAGGGAUAAAGGCCUUUGCCCCUACCAUGCCUUUGAAUGCUUGUCCCAUCCUCGAUCCUCCAGAAAACCCUUCCUAACCUCUCCUCAACCACACAGGCUCACUCCUCCGGACUUAACACAUCUUACAUGGAAAGUAUCUUUGUUAACAUUGACAGCAGUUGCCUGGAUGUAGGGGCAGGAGAGGCAGAGGAAACUCUCGGGGGUGACCGUUAUGUUCACUGUCUUGUUUGGGGUGAUGGUUUCACUUGUGUAGUCACAUGUCAAAAUGUAUCAGCUUGCUCACUUUACAUACAUGCAGUUUCUCAUAUGUCAAUUCACCUCAAAAAGCUAUUUUUAAAAAAUCCUAACUCAGGGCUGUCUCACUCCAAAAGAAACACUUGGGAUGGGAAGGGUAUUUCUUUAGUGGCACGAAAGAAUGGCACGCUCCCAGGUGCAGCCCCUGCAAUCACCACUGUGUCUCAGCACUCAGGCCAGCUGUCCCCAGAGGUGCCCGCACACCAUGUCACACCAAGUAUGGUGACACGAAGCUAGCCCCAGAGCUAUUUCACAAAGCCAGCCCUUUUUGCUCAGUAUGUCCUUAAGAAAUGGUGUAGGCCAGGCCCUGCCCUGCCUUUUUUUUUAACAGAUAAGGAAUUGGAGCCAGAGGGAGAAAAGCUCCUACACUCACACUUCAACUCUGAGUCAAGGCAGAAGCUGCAACUGACCUUUCUUCUUUAGCUGCCUCGGGCAGAAACCUGGGACUGAGAGCUCCAUCCCAGAGGCCCAGACGCACCCUCCCCUUCUGUGCACUGAAGGGCUGGUUCCUAGCCAAUGCACCCAGACACCCAGCCAGGCCUACUGGGAGCACAUGGGCCCCUUCUGCAGCCAAGGUGUCCAGGGGUGGGAGACCCUUUCUUCCUGGCCUACUUGCUGGUGUCUUUCAACACAGCUGGGCUCAAUUAUACUGGAUUCUGCACAUUAGAACCACCCAGUUUAGGAUAAAGGCAUGAUUUCCCCCCAAGCACAUCAGUCCAUGUACUGGAGGGAUGAAUUAAUACCACUGGAUUAUCUGGAGGCAGGGUCACCACACUGAGUCUCACAGGUUGCACAACUGCAAAAGGGGGCAGUCAUUUGGUGACCUGCCUGAAGGGAUUUAUGAUUUAAUAGGAACAAACCAACCUUAAUAUACAUCUCUUUUUACUACAAACAAAGGGUUAGGAACAAGCCAACUUGCCUACACCAGUGUCAGGAAUAACAGUGUAGGACAACAUGCUAAGUCCAGGCUGAGUACCAAAUGACCUGGCCUCCUCCAGCCCCAGCUCAGGUGGGAACUAGCUGUUUGACCUGAGGCAGGAGCCUUAGGGGCAUUGUUCCCAAGGAUGUACAGCCUGGGCAAGUGCUGCAGGAACUGUGUGGCCUAAUAAGUACUAUGUAUAGUUUCUUUUUAAGAUAAAAAUCCAGUUAGACUAAAAGACAAGUCUUCUGGCUGAGUCAUUCUCCAGUCCUCUGCUAUCAAACACACAAUCCAUUGCUGGAGGGUCCAGGCCAGGGGCUCAGGCAGGAAAAGCGGGUGGUGCCAGUCCCACCUGAUGGUUUGAACAGAGAUAAGGCCACGCCCUCCACCACUUCUAGUUUUUCACCUGUCUCAGCUGGAACAAAGGGCCUUUUUACGAGCUUAAUGGGGCCUGACUUACUCAGCAAACUUUUCUGUCUGUCUCCUUCUUCUGUAUGAGAACAAAAACAAACCUUUCUAUCCGGGUUUGCUAGGUUCCUUUGAAGGACUUGCAAGCUUUGGUUUAGGCAAACAGGAACCUGGCUGGGACCGCCCUGGUAAAUGAGCCUUUUGGCAAGACUCUCCAGAUGCCUCCUCUGCGCAGAGACUGAGGAGGGGGUGGCGGGAUGGGGAGCAGGAACUGGGACGGGGGAAAAAGCCACUAAUUGGGGGCAGGUGCCAAGAGGCUGGGCUUCCUGAGGGCUGAUGUGCUGACACCACUGAGAACUACGCACCAGGUGCCAGGAUGAGCCCUGGACUGGCUUCAUUUACUGGAACCUACCUGAAUUAGCCUGUGUGACCUCACCACCACCCGAGGAGGGGUGGCCACUGCUCCAAUCUCCAGAUCAGGAAAUGGAGACCAGAGGUUGUGUAACUUUGCCUGAGGCCUCAAGGAUCUGAGCUGUCCCAGUUUCCACUGUUGCCGUUGGCCCAAGUUGCUGGCACCCCCUCAGAGCUGUGCCCUGAAAGGCAGCACAGAUCAGAGGAGAAGAAAAGGAGUUUCAGAGCAACAGAACAGAGCAGAGGGGUCUGAGUCCAUGCACAAAGAAGGAAGAGGCCUGGAAGGAAUCCUGCUCCUCUCCAGUUUCCACUCCAGGGAAACACAGGAUACAGCUCCCCAGACUCUUGGGAGCAGAGUGUGCAGCCACCAUUUCCUGGAGCAGACCCACAGCCUUCCACAGAGAGUCCACCUGCAGUUCUCACCUGGCUUGACACCCACUCGGCCAAGACGUCACAGGGUAUUUUCCACUUAAAAAGCUUAAUUGUCCAGCAGCCACAUUUCUUUCAAACUUAUCCCUGAGGCUUGGUGGAGGGAACUGCAGCUGACAGCCUAACAGGAAGAAAGAAGACUCUGAGCUGUGCCCUUUUCCUCUCUGCUCCGUGCCUGUGGCCACACAGUAGUAUGUCACCCGCACACACACUGCUAGUGGGGCCUCUCACUGGAAUGGUCAGGGAGCCAGGACAGUCUGCCUGUGAGCUCCAGCUGCAUUAGGAGAGGCAGUGGCAGCUGCCCCUGCAUCCCAGGGUGUAUGCUCUCAGCCCACACCUGGACAGCCACCUGUGCCAUUCUCAUCCGGCACCCGUGCCUUAUUUCAGCCUGUGAGAUGGACCUGAGCUGGUGGGCCUGUGCCUCAGAAACAGCCUGCGGUUGCCCACCAGCUCCCAUCAGAUUGCCAGGGGUGCUUCCCAGGAGGCCCUGAGCUCACAGCUAAUGCCAUUGAAAAGUCCGGGGGUGGCAGGUUAUCACCCAAAGUGGACUGAGGGGCUGGAGAUGACUUGGUAUCUCUGCAGAGUUGCCCAUUGCUGGGGCUGCCUGAGCACAGGCUGAAUAGGCCCAGCAGGGCUGAGCUUCCAAAGCCCCCAUCAAUUCUCAUACUCCAUGAGGAUGCCCCCACUCCUGGGGCACCAUGGAGUGGCCAAGGAGCAAGCUUCUCCGUAAAUGAAACAGGAGGUGUGAGCCACCAGAGGACAGUAGAUGAGUAGGAAAAGGGGUCUGGGAACAGUUUCCAGACCUCCUUCCAGCACCAAGAAACUUCUAAGGCAGCCAGGUAUCGUCACAGGACAUGGGGACAUGUGAACUCAGGACUGCUGCCCUUCCUAAAUCUUCCUUUUUUUCUAUUCAAACUCUGUGCUUCAAUAUUCCCAGGUAAAAGUAGCAAGAAUAUGAAUAGCAACAUUUACUAGGUACCAAGGGGGUCCAGGCACAUUUACUAUUAACUCAUUUAAUCCCAAGGGAGGCACAAGACAGCUUGGGAAGGAGAAACAGCCUGCAUGUUUUCCUCGUUUUUGUUGGGAGAAAUGGAGAGAUGGGAUCUUGAAGAAACUCACAGGGAGGAUUUCCCUCUGAAAAGAUACAUCUGUGCUGUAUGGAGGAACCAAGGGGGAAAAGAAGGAACAAGAGAGGAUCAUGGUUUCUGGGGUGGCACAGGGGAAGACCUGGCCCAUGUUCUUGGCUCCUUUGAGGGAGAGGCAGAUGGAAACAUGAGCACCAGUCCCCCGCCCAAGGCUGACAUGGAAGCAGGGCCAAGUGGUUGUCAUACUGGACAGUGGGUGUCUCAACGGCGCAUGUAGACUGAGCAUCAAGGGCCGUGGGACAGCCCCCAGAGCUCUUGGUCAAGGCCCCAAGAAUAUGCCACAAUCUUUACAUGUGAGAAGGAUUGAGCUAGUUAGGUUUCCCAACAGUCUGGCAGGGGAUGGGAGUACAAUCAGAUAUUACACUGUUACAGAAAAAUUAAGUCAGUUCUCUUUCUUUCUGAGUUUUUGGACUGAGAUUCACAUAUGUUGUGUUUCUCUUUCAAUUCCCAACUUAACACUAGGUAGUUCUUCAAAAAUGUUAACUGAAUGAGUAUAAGCGCUGGAGUAGAAAAAGAAUAUUACAGAUUUGUAAUUGGCCAGUGGUUCUCCACGUGCGGUACUGGAACCCCUGGAGGUGUCCAAGAUCCUUUCAUAAUAAUCCAAAGACAUUAAGUACUUUUUUCAUUCUCAUUCUCUCACAGUUGAGUUUUCCACUUAAAAAGUUUUCCUCAACUGUGAGAGCUACAUGAUGCGUGUUAUUGCAACUGAUUAAAUGCAGAAGCAGAUAUUGCAAUCCACUGUCUUCUAUUAAGCCAGACAUUAAAACCAUUUGCAAAAUGUAAAAUAAUGUCACUUUUUUAAUUAAUGUUUUUUGAAAGCCACUUGACCUCUCCAGGCUCAUGUACCAAAUGCAGGCACUGGUUGGAUGGGCUCUCAGGGCUCCAUCCUCAUAGGCAGAGGCAGAGACGGAAGCUCAGUAGAGUCAAAGGGGCCCCUCUGAAAUUAUUGUUCCCUGAGUACACCAUGGGAAUGCUGCAGGAUGGGUUUGCUGGCUAAAAGUAAUUGCCCUAAGGCCUGGGGGUCAAAGGGCUCCUCCCAGAGCCAGAGCCAGAUGAUGUCAGUGCCCAGGCACCAUCAGCAUUCCUGGGUGGCUCAGGUCUGUGGGUGGCUGCUCAGGAAUCUGCCAUCCCUUUGUGCCUCCAGAUAUGCCACCUCUACUCUCUACCUGAGCCCAAAAUGCAGGCACGCGUGUACAUGCAUGCACACUAUAUCAAAUGCUGGAAGUAAUAUGAUUUAAACUCUGAUGCUCUUUCAGGGAAGCCUCGGUGGAGAAACAAAUCUGACGGCCUUGCUUUCAGCCAGCCACCCCUGCCCCAUGUGGCAGCCUCUGCAAGCAGAAACGCUAGGCGAGGGCAGGCUGCCCUCCCAGGGCUGUGACAUCCCCCCUUUCUGGCCCGGGCCCAGCCAGUGCUGCAACCCAUGCUCCUCUGUGGGUCACUUGGAAGCCUGCUCUUGAACAUGGUUAUAAAUGCCCAAUAAUAAACAAACAUGAGCUCUUCUGAAAUGUUCCCAGGAAUAGCCAACUGCCCAAAUUGCCAAGGUUGUUUUUCGGAUCCUGGGAAAAAAAGAAAUGGAGUAUGGUCUAUUUUUUCCAUGCCCAAAGCAGAAUCAUUGGUCACAUAGGUCCAAUUUUAGCUUUCUGGUUCCAUUUUUUUUUUUCUUUUUGUCUUAUCAUCUUAGAGCCUGGGGAAAGCAGGGAGAGGGAGACGAUAAGCAUGAAGGAGAUGGAAGAGGGAGGAAGAUUCUCUUCUGUGCCCACAGCUCUGAGAACUGGUGGACAAACAGGCUCUAGGCUCUCCUAUUCCUCGGCUGGCAGACAGGAGUGGGAAAGGCCUGGGAUCCGGGGGAGCCACAGAGGAACAGCAGCCCCUCCCAAAUCCCACAGAAUCAGAAAACAAAGAGAAAGCUGGGAGAAAAGAGAGGCCCCACUUAAGACUGGUGGCUGAGGCCUCAGGAAAGGAGGCUGGGGAGAGCAAGGGGGUGUGGGGUUACACCCCCUCUCACAGAGCCCAGGCUGCUGGUGCUGGCUCUCUGCUGCUCCGCACCAUCACAGUGGGAUGAGUUCCCACAAACACCAUCCACAGACCCAGCCCCCGGUCCCUCCCCCACAGGACGUGGGCCACCACUCUGCCCUUACCUGCCAGGCUACAAGAUUCAGGCACUUCAGCCCAGUCGUUGCUGAAACACGGGGACCUGUUCUCUGUGCCUGGUGACAAGGGGUCCUUUAGUGAGUCCCGUGAAACAGCAUCAUGCGCCUGUGUAUCUCAGAUGGAGAACAACCCCACACAACGAAAUUCCUCCUGGACCAGGUCCUCAGCUGUCAGUGUGAGGACCCUGGACCCCUAACCGAGCCAGAACCUACACCAGCCACCCAGAAAGUUGUGCCUGGAAUCCUGGAAGCAGUCCAGCAUCACCUGAAGUACUUCAAUUGUUCCUAACCUGCUCCCCAGACCCCUGCCAUCUUCUCCAAAUGUGGAACAUGGGGGUGAAACCCCCUAAAUUCAGCUGCUGGCACUUUGUGGAUUGACCUUUGUUUUGGAUUCCUGGCCUCUGUUUCCCCCACAGGAUCUUACUGGACUUGCCCUUCAUUUCUCCAUGCACUCUGCCAAUCCAGCCCUAAGCAAACAAGCCCACAGACCACCUCCACCCUGGGAGCACAGGGCUCAUACACCCAUUCAUACUAGGCUCUAAGCGCCAACCGUGCUGUUUACCGCCUCAUCCCAACACAAAUGGAACACCUGGGGAUGGACACAGGAGGUGUCUGUGAAGUCAGCAUCCCUUUCUUCCCACCUUCCCGAGGAAGUGAAACAACUUCAACAGAUAUGACUUCAGGAGCUAGGACCCUUGGAGGAGACCAGAUAAAGAGGGUUUAAAUACUGAAAUGUGAAAGCCCUUCUGUGGAUAAAAUGAAGGUUCUGUGGCCAGGAUUCUCACCUGGCCCUGGCUGGCUAGCUCACUACACAUGUGUGUGCAAUAUGUUGUUAUUGACUCUACAUAAAGAGCUCCACCCAGUGUCCUAUGUGACACAGUGGCACAGCUGCAAGGCUGCAGGAGAGCAGAGCAGAGCAUGGAGGGGUGGUAGCGCUGAGGACAGGGGCCCGGAGGACGGCUGUGUGGGCAGAGAGGCCCAGAGGCAGAGACCAGCUUGCUGCCUGAAGCCUUGCUCUGAGUGGAUGAGAUUUUAGUGAUUGACCUGCCACCUUGGAAAUAAAGUUGGGUAUAACCCUUUCACCCCAAGACCGUUCUACUGUCAUUUCUUUGGUCGCGUUGAAUCCAUAGUGAACUUGCCUGGGGCUGAAAUCCAUUGGCAAGACACCUUUCCAUGAUUGCAUGAGGCAAUUUUCUCCCUUCAUUGGGUUCUAUUUUUUACAGGGCACUUUUCAAGGUCCUAAAUUUGCUCAAGAGAUUUGCUGAUGCUGUUGAGACUGGAAUUCAAACGGAAAGCACAUAUGACAGACAGAGAAAAUCCACCUCUGACUGCCCCCUGGCCACCUCCCAGAGGUCGUGACUGCCUCAUUCUUGACAGGGCCCAAAUGAGGAAACUGAAACUCAGAGGGUGAAAUUACAUGCUGAUCAUCUCUCAGUCUUCAAGCAGCCUGGCUGAUGUCAGAACUCCUCAGUGUGACUCCACAACCUGUAUGUUCGUUAACUGCCACAGCUCAGUUGUCCACCUUUCCAGUCUGUGCCCCUCUGGACAGGAGUCCCUUGAGGGCAGGACCAGACAUCCAUCAGCCCUGCAGCCCCCAUCCUUUGCUGAGUGAGGACAAGUUCGGAAGGUACAAAAUGAUGGUAGAUCCCUGUCCAGUGUUAUGGAGGGCAGCUAGGACACCGUGCUCGAAGCCAAAAGAAUCUGUGUCCUCAUAUUCUAGGGGGUCAAGGUUCUAGCAGAGGAGCCCCCCAAAGGGCAGAGAUGGUAACACCAGCCUUACAACCACCUGCACCCCACCUUAGGUGGAAGACUGGGCAGGGGAGAAGGAGGAGAGGUAGGGCCUUAUGGGGAGAGGCUUUUCUUCCCCGGCCUCAUGGGAGAUUUUGCUGCUCUGAAGCCAGGUGAGGUUCAUUCAGAUGCCAGCUUCCUGCAAGCAGGGACGCUAACAUCUCCUUCCCCAGCUAGGUACCUGCUGAGCAGGAGAGGAAUGUGGAGAGAGCUCUGAGGAGUGCAUGACAUGGUCCCCCGCAGUCUGGGGUGGGCACAAAGGGUACUGUAGUGGCCUGGAUUGGCAGGGGCUUUACGAAGCCCUGGCCUGGAAGAGGAGAGGCCAUCCAUCCUUGCUCCACAAGGCUCUGGGAGAUCAGCAAGGGACUCAGAGGCUCCCAUGUCCUCCCAAAAGAGCAGAGGGGAGAGAGGAGAGUUAAGAGCAGGGAACACCCCGACUCAAGAAAGAGAUGGGACGAGUCUGUUGGAGCGGCCCCUGAGGAACAAGCAGCUCAUCUCAGAGAGCCUCCAGCCA
This is a long non-coding RNA of Manis pentadactyla (Chinese pangolin), 12374 nucleotides long. RefSeq lists it as uncharacterized. Lineage: Eukaryota; Metazoa; Chordata; Mammalia; Pholidota; Manidae. The transcript has 4 exons. The record is from RefSeq and is a predicted model, not a curated record.